GAUGAACGCUGACAGAAUGCUUAACACAUGCAAGUCAACUUGAACUUCGGUUUGGGUGGCGGACGGGUGAGUAACGCGUACAGAACUUGCCUCACAGAUAGGGACAACAUUUGGAAACGAAUGCUAAUACCUGAUAUUAUGAUUAUAUGGCAUCGUAUAAUUAUGAAAGCUAUAUGUGCUGUGAGAGAGCUUUGCGUCCCAUUAGCUAGUUGGAGAGGUAACGGCUCACCAAGGCGAUGAUAGGUAGCCGGCCUGAGAGGGUGAUCGGCCACAAGGGGACUGAGACACGGCCCUUACUCCUACGGGAGGCAGCAGUGGGGAAUAUUGGACAAUGGACCAAGAGUCUGAUCCAGCAAUUCUGUGUGCACGAUGAAGUUUUUCGGAAUGUAAAGUGCUUUCAGUUGGGAAGAAAAAAAUGACGGUACCAACAGAAGAAGUGACGGCUAAAUACGUG
Molecule: ribosomal RNA, 454 nt
Filed under: uncultured bacterium
Lineage: Bacteria
Description: partial 16S ribosomal RNA
Rfam family: Bacterial small subunit ribosomal RNA
Source: RNAcentral